RNAcentral lists this long non-coding RNA (314 nucleotides) under Helianthus annuus (common sunflower). RNAcentral describes it as "hypothetical non coding rna". Lineage: Eukaryota; Viridiplantae; Streptophyta; Magnoliopsida; Asterales; Asteraceae. The record is from RNAcentral.
AUGCUCGUUGCUCCUUGUAAGACAGGCAGAUAUAAUUGUUGUAACCGAUGCUCCGAUAAAUCCCUCCCAGGUCUUCUUUGGGGAUAAUUUGAUUAAUGGAGUUUUUCCAAAGAAGAAGCCAAAGAUGUAGGCAGCAAUAUCGUUGAUAACGAUCAGUGAUGCGGGAAGAAGAAACCUAAAAUCCCUUCGAAAAUAUUGGCGACUGUGAAAGAGGACUGCGUGAACACCACAAUAAGGAUCAUAUGUGUCCAUGCAUACUGGCCAAACUGAUACUUAUACAUUUUCUUCUUUAACGAGAGAAUGAACCAUACAAA